UCGCCUUUCUCGCCUCUCCUCCGGAUCUCAGCCACCAGCCACGGUAGCAUGGGCAGCGUGGUCCGCCUGUCCAGCGAGGACCAGCCGACCGUCUUGGAGGCGGAGCGGCUGUGAGCCCAACCAUCCCAUGUGCUGCUGGAGGAGUGGGCUGGGCAGAGCCGCUGUGAGAAACGUGACAGGACAGGAGGCUCCACCUUUCCCCACUGAGCAUAAUAACUGGAAAGCUUCUUCCAUGGCAAUGUGGAAAGUGUUUUGAGACCCUACGGCAGGAGUCCCCCCCCCCCGGACAUAAAUCAUACUACCUACCUGCGAAGUGCCUUCACCAGGUGUCCCAGGAGGUUCUGAAAAGGAGCCUUGAUGACCUGGCUUUUCCAAAUUGGCAACACAAUGAAUCAUUACGAUUAGUUUAAAAAAAAAAAAAAAAAAAAGCACUUCUUAGUGUAUAAGCAGGUUGUGCUGAAUAAUAGCUUUGGAUGAUUCAAAUCACAUGAUACGCUUUGUGCACUAGAGGAGUUCCCACAUACCAAAUGCCAUAAUUCCAAGAACUCCACCUAUCCCAAAAAUAGUAACUGUGCCAUAUACAACCUCCUCACUGAGGCAGGAUACGCUCACUGCACUGCUGGAAGGGGUCCUGACAUGUUUCCAUUCUGCAGGAUAGACCACUAAAUAGACACACUUCAGGUCAGAGACCCCCUUUUGAAAAAAACAUAUUUUGUUUUUGUUCUUUGGGUUUUCAUAUCACAUUGAAUUAUCACUGUGUGAAAACAAUCAGUGAGAUCUUGGGUUAUAAUAAGCAUCGUGCAUAAUUAAAGCAUAUCUCAUUUUACUGUGGACCCUCUGGACUCCCCUCUAGAGUGCUCAGAGGCUGUUAGACUAGAAAAUUACACAAAAGUAGGUCAGAUUCAGUUCUGUGUGGAUUCUACAUUUACAGAGUAAUUAGAUGGAAAACAGUGACACUAACUUACAGGAUUAAAUUGAUUUGGUGUAUAAUUGUGUUUACUUCAACUUGUUCUGGGCUAUGAAGUUGGGAUUAAAUAACCAUGCAAUGAAGGUUUACACUUAAUAUUUAUUUUAUGCAUCACUGUUGCAUAACAUCAAAGUAAAUAUGGAGAAAAAGUAAAAGAAAGGCACAGACAUACUUACAAACAUAUAGUAUGCAUAACACAAACAGCAUUGAAUCUUCAUGAUGGAGACAUUAAAAGGAAGCAUGAAGUCUACAGCAGUUAAUGUGGAUAUUUUAACGUAAUAUGUUUUUCAUUGCAAACAAA
Molecule: long non-coding RNA, 1268 nt
Organism: Thunnus maccoyii (southern bluefin tuna)
Lineage: Eukaryota; Metazoa; Chordata; Actinopteri; Scombriformes; Scombridae
Exons: 2
Source: RefSeq, a predicted model, not a curated record